UGAGGAAUUUUGGACAAUGGGCGCAAGCCUGAUCCAGCCAUGCCGCGUGUGUGAAGAAGGUCUUCGGAUUGUAAAGCACUUUAAGUUGGGAGGAAGAGCAGUUACCUAAUACGUGAUUGUUUUGACGUUACCGACAGAAUAAGCACCGGCUAACUCUGUGCCAGCAGCCGCGGUAAUACAGAGGGUGCAAGCGUUAAUCGGAAUUACUGGGCGUAAAGCGUGCGCAGGCGGUCUUGCAAGACAGUGGUGAAAUCCCCGGGCUCAACCUGGGAACUGCCAUUGUGACUGCAAGGCUGGAGUACGGCAGAGGGGGAUGGAAUUCCGCGUGUAGCAGUGAAAUGCGUAGAUAUAGGAAGGAACACCAGUGGCGAAGGCGACCACCUGGACUGAUACUGACACUGAGGUGCGAAAGCGUGGGAAGCAAACAGGAU
This 431-nucleotide ribosomal RNA is filed under the name Azomonas sp. RNAcentral describes it as "bacterial SSU rRNA". It matches the Rfam family "Bacterial small subunit ribosomal RNA", at positions 355 to 778 of the family's 1533-position model. The record is from RNAcentral. Lineage: Bacteria; Pseudomonadati; Pseudomonadota; Gammaproteobacteria; Pseudomonadales; Pseudomonadaceae.